Long non-coding RNA from Caretta caretta (loggerhead turtle), 4025 nucleotides. RefSeq lists it as uncharacterized. The record is from RefSeq and is a predicted model, not a curated record. Lineage: Eukaryota; Metazoa; Chordata; Testudines; Cheloniidae.
CGCGGGGACCCGCUCCAGCCCAUCCAGCCGCCAAGAGGGGGGGGGGCGGCAUGAGACAAGCUGAAGAGCUCUUCCCCCCCGCCGCCGAGGUUUUCUAACUUCCAGCCCUGCAAAUUCAACUAGCCUCCAGAAGUCCAACUUAGUUCUUUCCUUCCUGGGCAUUACCACUGGCAUAAAGAGUUCUGAAGGCCAAAUUAGACCUCCAGUUACAUCUGUGAAAUCUUCCAGGCUUCAGAGCUGAGAACUAGAGGAAAGCUCUCAGUUUCUCAGGGCUGCAGUAGCUAAGGAAUGGAAGUCCCUUGGCCCAUGCCUCUUCCCGCAGCCCCCAUUGGCCUGGAGUGGCGAACCGUGGCCAGUGGGAGCCACGAUCAGCCGAACCUGUGGAAGCGGCAGGUAAACAAACCAGCCUGGCCCACCAGGGGCUUUCCCUGAACAAGCUGCGUCCCAAGUUUGGGAAACACUGCUCUACACCUUUUCCCCUCACCCCUCUAAGUAACCAGAGGGCAUUAGAGGCUGGACUGAUAGUCACAGAGUCUUUCUACCACCAUGUGGAUCUUCCAGUCAUCCCCACCCUCUGGAGGUGCAAGGGAUAUAGAGAGAAAUCGUGGCUCCACUGAAGUCAAUGGCAUCAGCAUUUCACUUAUGUAGGCUAUUUAGCUCUUAGGCUGGAGAUCUCCAUUGACUACAUGAUAUGGGCUGAUGUUUGGGAGUAGAAUUUGGGGUUUCAGGUGUAGGUAUUUCUGGGAUAUGUGUAUAAUACAAUGGCACUAAAUCAAAUACUGGAUGCAAGUUCUACAGGGCAUGGACUGUGACUUGUACAAAGCCGAGCACUCUGACCACACUUAACAAUUAAUAAUAACAUGAAUGUUUUGGUUGAACACACUGGAAAGAUUUCUGUAUUUCAAAUUAUUUCCUCUGUCACCUUCUUCAAUAACCCUGCUCACUAGAUUUCAGUGUUUUAAGCCAACUAGGUAUUUCCUGUUGCGUGUGUUUUUAAAAUGAUUAUUAUAGAAGGACAGCUAAAAAUAGAUGAGCUGACUUAUUCACUGACACCUAGACCUGGAUGUUCUUUCCCUCCCCGACACUUUCUAAACAAAUAAAAAAAAAAACCCUCUGGAUUUACUCAAACGAUCAUUUUCAGAAUCAAAUAAUCUUUUCUUGUUUUUAACAAUGUAAAUUUGGCCUCGUUUUUGGAGUGUAAACUUUCCUAAUUCCUGGAUUAGCUGCAAUUCUAAAUUAGUACAUGUAUUCUGUAUAAAUAGUAUAGUUCCUACAUUGUCUGAUUACCAAAACAGCUUGGAUUUUCUUGCACCACAAUAGUUUUCUGCCACCUGGUGGAUAUAUAGGGUCAGUACCUCAAUACUUACAAUCUCUUAUGUUUUCCUAUAUUUUUAAUGACAAGUAUGAUUAAAUAAAUCAGGAUUUUUACAGUUUCCUUUUUAAGAUAAUAUGAAACAAAGGGCCAAUUCACCAUUUCUUGAUAACGGUUGGGGAAUUACUGUAUUUACUACCUGAGUUUCUGCUUUCAGGGAUAUAUCCUGUCAUCAGUCCGUAUCAAAAAUUGGCCCAGAUUCUAUUAUAUAAUGUUGGGAUUAUUUCUAGAACUGCAUAUCCCUUAAGGUCUGAUCCUGAUGCCAUUAAAAUCCAUGGAAAAACUCAUGUUUUUAAUUUGGCAAGAGCAGGCUCUGUAGGCCCAAAUACUACACAAAGUGCAAGGCAGUAGAGACAAAGGCUAAGGGCUGGUCUACACUGGCAACGUUAAAGUGCUGCAGCUGUGUAUUCGCGGCACAGCUCCCACCUCGCGAGGGGCGCAGCUCCCAGCGCUGGGGCACUGUCUACACUGGCGCCUUGCAGCGCUGAAACCUGCAGCGCUCAGGGAGGUGUUUUUUCACGCCCCUAAGCGAGAAAGUUGCAGCGCUGUAAAGUGCCAGUGUAGACAAACCCGUAGUGUCAACAAAGGGUGAUGAACUUCAUACGGGAUAUGGGAUGUUGCCCCACAGUAUGAAACCUUUAUUAUUUUGUGGCUUUCUACAAACUCGAUCAUUCUAACAUCAUUACAUGCGAACUUUGUAUUCUGCAGUAAUUAUUUUCAUUAUUUGGCAACACACAUUGCACGUGUCCUUUUGGCCACAUACAUACAGUAUCACUGAAAUGCAGUCACCUUUGGUGUGGCUGGCAGCGGCCAGCGAACAAACAGCACAACAGUGUGGAGAAGGGACACUUUUGGCUAAGAACAAUGAAGCGACCCCCUAAUGUUGUGGAAAGUGUCCUAGGAUCUCUAAGAUCCAUGCAAAGCGGACAGGCCGUCAGGGAAGGUAUGAUCAUAAUAAAGAAGGACAUACAGUAAAUGACUUAUGGUGCUCAGUUUAUACACCUUGGAAAGAUAAAGGGCGGAAGUGAUGCCAGAAGGAUUUUAACCUGUGGUUCCAGAGUCUAGAUAUUGUCUCUAGGAGUAAAAUGAUAAUAGUUACAUUUAUCUAUAAUUACACUGAUGAAAAGAAGUUGAGAUGUGUUUAGAAGAUACAACCUUGUAUCCUGUAUUUAUUACCUUGGAUACAAGGCUGACUCUUCACUCAUAAAGCUACAACUCUUCAGCCACUAAAACUAAAAGCUGCUAUUUUGGCCACCUGAUAACUCCCAUCUCUUUCCAUUAACAAACAAAAAUAUACAGAGAAUGACAACAUUGAGAAUAAAGGCUUUAAAGUUCAAAAGGGCCUGUUCCCUGCAUUAUUUCCAAUAUUUAUGUGGGUACAAAACUUCAUGAAAAUCACACUACGUUGAUUGUUUUAGAGUAGCAGCCGUGUUAGUCUGUAUCUGCAAAAAGAAAAGGAGGACUUGUGGCACCUUAGAGCCUAACAAAUUUAUUUGAGCAUAAGCUUUCGUGAGCUACAGCUCACUUCAUCAGAUGAAUUGAUUGUGUAAUUCUUCUUCAAAAAGGUGAUAACUGUCCUAGGUGCCACAAUUAUCCCCACAGAUAGCACACAUGUUUAAAUAAUUGUUCUCUCAAGAUCAUUGUAUGCACCCAAGUGGGUUCUAGCUAGUGUGAUGCUGUACAAUUUAAAUUGGUGCAACAAUUAGUUUGGAGAAUAACCACAAUUUUGGGGCAGAAAAGCACAAUGAGAGUGUGACUUGGACACAGAUCGCUGGAAUCGGUACAUGAUAAUACACAACAAUCUUCACACAUUAGGGCUGCAACAGAACAGGGGAAGGCAUUAAGUGUAGAUCAAACCUGCAGACAAUCGAUUAAAGUUGGCACAGUUCAUCAGAUCGUCAUUAUGCAAAAUGCCUGAAGGAUGUAGGCAUCUACAUAUCUUGACCAACAUGAUUUUAUAUAUGAUUUUCAGUAGAGGAUUAUUCUUUAGAGGCAACUAUGCACAGAUGUGUAUUAAGUGGAGUCAGAAGCUGGGAUUUUUUAAAAAAAGAUCCUCUUCUUUCAUGUCCCGUAGAUACAUUAAAGAUGGGUUUCCGUUGUAGGGCAGGGGGCAGCCCAUCCUACAUGACAGUGCAUGGCAAGGAAGCUAAACUGCACUUUUAAAAAAGUGUAGCAAGGACACAUGUAUCUGAUAUCAACAGUUAAUAUGAUAAUUUCUUAGAAGUGCCUUUUCUGCAAUAUUUGUAAACCAUUUGCAGGAACAUAAUCCACAGGGAGAAAGCUGUACCACAGUGGUGUUUUCCCUGCAAAUAUUUAGGAGAAAAGUCAUACAAGUAUACUGCCCCUCAAACUGCCACUUAUUUCAGGGGAGAAUCAGUAUCCUGGUUCCUCAUUGGGAUAUUUUGAAAUUAUUUGCCUGCCUACUAUAAGUCAGAGCUGUAUAUCUGCUUCCUGUUGUUAUUGAGUAUUCAACACUUGUUUUGCUUCAGCAGUCCAAAGGGUUGGUUGGCAUCACAUUGCUGAGUGAUGACAUAUAUAAUAUCACUAUCAGAUGCAGUAUUAGAAGAGAAGUCAGUGGCUCAGGUUUAGAAUGUUCCAAUGUAUGAUUGUUUUACUGCAGGAAUUAUUAGUGUAAUUAAUGUUAAUAAACUGU